This is a long non-coding RNA of Musa acuminata AAA Group (dessert banana), 728 nucleotides long. RefSeq lists it as uncharacterized. NCBI's taxonomy places the organism in Eukaryota, Viridiplantae, Streptophyta, Magnoliopsida, Zingiberales, Musaceae. The transcript is spliced from 3 exons. The record is from RefSeq and is a predicted model, not a curated record.
UAAUACCCCACCCGUCCCCAAUCGCAAUGCUCGCCUCCCCCGUUUCGCAUUCCGAUGGAAGCUGAAGGGAAGAGAGAAAAGACGAGAGCGCGGUCGCCCGAACGAUCCGCCGAGUUGCAGACUUCGUCGGGAAGCCUAUCUUUCUCGUAUUCUCCAUACGGAAAGAAAGGCUGAACCGAAGCCGCUCUGCCUGCAGAUUCCAUACGGAUUCGGCCGAUGCCGGCCGCAAUUCCAAAACGCCGGUGUCUUGGAUCGUCCAAUAACAUUGCGCCGACAGUCGAUGGCAGGCGAAGGGGCGGGGAUCGGUGGGGGUUUCGGUCCGAUCCCCGCUUUCGAUGAUGCCCAAUGUCACACACAAUGCUGUUUCCAAUUCUUCCGAUGCCUCGCCCGAUUACAGUGAAGACCACUCAGUACAGCGGGGAAUUUCCACAGAGAGAUGAUCAACCUGAUUGCCAGGAUGGGAAAUCAUGUAAAUAUAGAGUUUCCUGCAAGUUCAAUCAUCUCCGGCAUGCCACAGAACUGACUUCCCUGUUGCAGGAUCCUCAGCCAGUUUAUAUUCUGGUCUUAUGACACCAGCAUCAGGGCCAUCAGUAAUUGAAGUUUCACCAUGGUGUUCACCAAUAAUUAUUUACAUGUUCAGUGAACAUAUGCAAGAUCUCCCAGCUUGCUUAUCUUUGGUUCUUCCAACCACCCAAGGAUAGAUGCCCGUGCAGCAGGGUGGGACACAU